GGGGUUUUAAUCUUUGUGCUAAGGCAUAAGCAAGUAAUUUAGCAUCAUAGUUUAAAAGAGUAAUAGGUCUAUAAUUGUCUAGAGAAAAGGGAUCAUUCUUUUUAUAAAUUAGAGAUAUUAAGCCAACUUUCUGAGUGUUAGAUAGUUCUCUUUUUUCAUAGCAGUAAUUAAAAGUGGAGACUAUAAAAGAUUUAAGUUCAUCCCAGAAUGUUCUGUAAAAUUCCACAUUUAGUCCGUCAAGCCCAGGUGCUUUAUUAAGUUUCAUUUUAAAAAUUGCAUCAGUACAUUCAUCAACAGUUAUUUCCCCUUCACAAGAAUUACUUUCACAGUCAGUUAAUUUCUUAUAUUCCUUGAGAGAAUCUAAAUACUUUUUAGUUGCUUCUAUUUCAGGGUUUUUUGUAGAAUAUAAAUUUUUAUAAUAAUUUGCUUCUAAUUUUAAUAUUUUGUCUUGAUCUCUUGUAAUUUGACCUUUAUCAUCAUAUAAUUGGGUUAUUGUUUUUCUACUCUGUCUUGAUUUUUCCAUCCCUAGAAAAUAUGCAGAAUUUUUCUCUCCUUCUUCAACCCAUUUUACCCUUGCUCUUAUUUGAUUCCCUUUUAUUUUUUCGUUAUAGAGUUUUCCUAUUUCAUUUUCUAUAUUAUCUAUUUCUUUUAAUAUAUUAUUGUUGUUUUUAUUAUUGCAUGUAUCAAUAAUAUUAUUUAAUUCUGUUAAAUUUUUUUCCAAUUUGCUGAUUAGGUUUUUUUUAUUCUUAGCUUUUGUUUUGCAAUAGCUUAUUGUCUGGUCUCUAACUUCUAUUUUGAAAUUGUCCCACAGUAUGUCAAGAUCUGUUCUUGUUUUAGCUUUGUUUUUAAAUUUUUUAAUUAUUUUCCUAAUUAUUUCAGCAUAGUCUUCAUUUUGAAGUACACUGCUGUUUAAUUUCCAGUAUCCUUUUCCUUUUUGGCCUCUGUUUAAAUUUAUUUUUAAAGAAACACAGUUGUGGUCUGUGUAUUGUAAUACUAUUGGUCUAAUGUCACAUGAAACACAGUUUUUGAAUACUUCUGGAGCUAUUAAAAAAUAAUCUAUUCGUGUUGACUCUGACCUAUCUUUUCUGCUCCAUGUAAAUUGAACUUUAUUUGGAUUUUUGGUUCUCCACACAUCAUUGAGUUUUAGGGACUUUAUAAGUUUAUUUAAAUUGUGAACUUUUUUCCUAUUUUUUUGUUGUUUAGUUUUACUUUUUGAAUCAAUUUGAGAUAAAAUUUCAUUAUGAUCUCCUCCUAAAAUAAG
This 1261-nucleotide long non-coding RNA is filed under the name Mytilus galloprovincialis (Mediterranean mussel). The record is from RNAcentral. Lineage: Eukaryota; Metazoa; Mollusca; Bivalvia; Mytilida; Mytilidae.